Lysinibacillus odysseyi 34hs-1 = NBRC 100172 is the source of this 83-nucleotide regulatory RNA element. The record is from Rfam. NCBI's taxonomy places the organism in Bacteria, Bacillati, Bacillota, Bacilli, Caryophanales, Bacillaceae.
CACCCGCUACAACCGCACUGGCAAGGUGCCUAAGAGUCGCGAAUGCGGCCACCUUUCAAUAACAGGCGAGUCUUAGUUUAUUA